Molecule: ribosomal RNA, 253 nt
Filed under: uncultured bacterium
Lineage: Bacteria
Description: partial 16S ribosomal RNA
Rfam family: Bacterial small subunit ribosomal RNA
Source: RNAcentral
UACGAAGGGUGCAAACGUUGCUCGGAAUCAUUGGGCGUAAAGCGCACGUAGGCGGCCUCAAAAGUCGGAUGUGAAAUCCCACGGCUCAACCGUGGACGUGCAUCCGAAACUGGGAGGCUUGAGUACUGAAGAGGAUCGCGGAAUUCCCGGUGUAGAGGUGAAAUUCGUAGAUAUCGGGAGGAACACCAGUGGCGAAGGCGGCGAUCUGGGCAGAUACUGACGCUGAGGUGCGAAAGCGUGGGGAGCAAACAGG